GGAGCAGUUUUGUGACUUGUUUUUAUGGCUAGUGGUAAUAGUCGCUUCCUAGAAGCCCCUCUCCAGCAUUCUGACUGAAGAGGGCACAAAUAUUCUGAAUUUUGUUUGGUAGCAGAUUUCCAAACCAAAAAAUAAGAUCAUAUCUAUGAUAUCAUAUCUAUGAUUGUCCUGUUUGUCCAAUGAAAUUUGCCUUAUUCUUUGAUAAAAUCAGGCAACAACAAAUUGGUUUGUUUGCAUCCUGACCAAAUAUGUCAGAAUUUAUGAGAUGACAUUUGCAUUCUAUUUGCAUCCUUCUCAUUAACAGUUUUUGUUACAGAUUGUGCAUAAACCACAAAACAUUAAAACGUUUGCAUGCAUUUUUCAAAAGAUACAAGGAAAAGAAAUAGUAAAGAAAGUUAGAGCACAGUUGGAUUCUAUAAAAACUGCUUUUUAGAGUCUUUCCUCAAUGCACUCUUCUGUAGUAAAUAUUAUUUUAUGAGUCUUCUAGGGUCAUAUAAUAAAUACAAUAAAUAAGACUUCUGUAAUGAAUAUUACAUUAUUACCCUUCUAGGCAUUUGGAUUGUUCCUGUGAGAUAGUUAGCUGAAAAUUUCUAGAAUAUCUCAACAGUUAAUGAAACAAACAUUAUAAGCAAGAAAGUUGUUCAGCUUGCAAACAUCAUAUUUUUACUUUUUUCUUUACACUGCAUAACAUUGUAUUUUCACUUUUUUUUUCACACUGAGAAAAGUUCCAGUAAGACUGCACUGACCUGACAAAGAAGACCAAAUUAUAAAAGGAUAAGUAGUUUGGGUUUUUUUCUUUUUUGUGAUGUCUUUCCUUGGGAGAAGAAUUAUUCAGAAGAAACUUUUUAUUGAAAUAAUUUCAUUGCAGAUGUGAAGCAGCAAAAAGCUCCAGGGGACUUGUAUUUUCAUGUUGUUCUCAAUGAUAUGAGCAGUAAGAGAGUGAAAUUAUCAUGUGAUUUAUGGGAUAAAGGGGUUAACUGGGGAGCUAAACCAGGUAAGAGAACAAGGUUGCUCCAGGGCUGGGGCCACUGUGGGCAAGAGUGAGUUGAUUGAGUGGAUUUGGAGAUUGUGUUCUCUCCUUUUUCUUGAGAUAUUCUAAAGAGUCAUGUUUCCAAAAAUGUUGCCUGCCAGUGAAUAAAGAAGGGCAGGGCUCUCAGCCCAGUGCUUCCCAUGAACAAAGUGUGUGAUUGCUUUGCCAUAACAAAGAACUGGAUUUGGGCUUCACCAAGUGCCUCCAUGUCUCUUCUAGCACGUUUUAAAACACAAAUCAGCUGAUCAGUCCUGCCUUGCUUUCCAGCCUUACCUCUUCUAGAGGUAGGUGUAAUCACAGGAGAAAAACAACAGCCCUGAAGGCUGGUGUAGGUGCUUGCCAGAUCACCACACUUCUUCUCAGUGUCUGCUUACAGACCUGACCUUCACUGGAAGAGCUGGGUGGACAUUUUCCAGUCACCAGAGCAAACAAUCAGCAGAGAGUUCAGCAUAAAAACAUGAAAAGCCAAGGGCUGCAAAACCAAAAGAAAACUGUCAAGAAGAGGGGAAAAAAACGAAGACAGAGAAGAAAUGUUGCUCAUUACCAGAUAAGCCACGGGGACUAAGUGACUUCCAGACAGAUUUGUAGCCCCCACAAUUCACAGGUGAAGAGAGAAUGAAGACCCACAUGGUUGUGCACACCUCAAGUCCCUUUCCCAAAGGGAGUUGCAGGCUUGUCCUGACCCUGGACACUUCUUGAGGGGGCUCAAUCUCCCCUAAGGUGUGGAGGAGAGCAUUCCCUUGGCUGAUACAGCUGCCUCCAGCCACAAUUCACAUUUCUGAGAAACCACAUGGAGGACACAGGGACUGCAAAGCCAUUGCUCAAUGUACUGAAGAAAACUUUGACAGAAGACAGUAAAACAAUAAUGAUGUUGGUGUGGAUGAUACUGAAGACUACACUUACAAAUUAGCACAUCUCCCUGAAGUUUUCUAAGCCCUUGGACACCUAAAGCUGAGGAACUGCUUUCUAUCAUGAGAGUGAUUGAGAAACUCGUGUGGCUAACCAAGAAACUUGAUUACUUCACUAUCUUAGUUGUUCAAGAAGCCCAGAAGAUAUCAACGAGUAGUGCAGAAGCUGAAAAACCAACAGCUGAGCUCAGAAAACAGGAUCUGACUAAAUUGCACCACAUGAGACCCUAAACUCCUAUUAACUUCCAAACCAGAGCAUUAAGUUUUCCAACCCUCUCUCAUCUCCAGUUAUUAUUUUCAAUUCUCUUCACCAUACAGAAAAUGGUGAAGAUAUGGACAUUUUUACAUAUCAAGCAUCUUCUGAUUUCUGAUUAGGGCAUCAUCACCUUUUCAGAGAAUCUCAGUUCAUCCUAGUUUUUGAAAAUUACCUUGAAAAGAACAAAAAGUUAUUCCAGAAUUUUCAUCAUAAUCCAAGUUUUGCAAUACUUUUCUUUCAAAUAAGUACAGCUUUUUUUAUGAGUACAGCUUUAUCUGUCAGACUGAAUGUAGAGGCAGGGUUCUUGUGCAAAGAACAUCUCACAGUAUGGCACCCUUGCCCAAACUUCAGGGCAGGAGUAUAAAAUUAUACUUAAUUCUGACUCUCAUUUUUAUUCAAAUGAUGAAUAGGAAAUCAACACUAUAUACUGUGCUUCAGGGUAUCUUCGUCAUAAGACUAUUUGUACCCAGAAAUGUAGAUAAACUAAACCUCAAUUAACCAAAUCUGGUUAUAAUCCUUCCCUAUGGGCACUCAGCAUAUUUAAAAAGAGGUAGCACUAUAACUUGGUAAUUUAGCUAAAAAAGAGCAAUAAAACUGUCUGCUUAAGAAGAAAAAGCAUAGAUAAUGGUCUCUAUCUGCUGGAUUCCUGAAAUCUUCUGUACUACCCUAAGCCUUUAUUGCAUCAGCCUCACUGAUUUCAUGUUCCAGGGUUGGUCUUUAGACCAAGAUACUCCAUAUAGUUCACAGUUCACAACUGAACAUCCAGUUUUGCUUUCACUGAAAUGGUUUUACCCAUUUCCUGUAUUUCUCUUACUUUUGUGCCAGUAAGUGGCAAAGAUUUAAAAAAAAUAGAAAUAUUUCAAAUAAGUACUCUCAGCCUCUGGGCCUGAACUUACCUCUAUGUAUACAGCAUUCUCUAUCCUCUAAGAAAAGAUCUGUUUCCACUAUUAAUAUUUUCUUUAUGGAGCAGAGUGUUCAAAGCAGAUGUGUCUAUAUCAGUAUGCCUUAAGGAUGCACAGUUGCCCGUGCUGCUGUGACAGAGGAUAGAAGUAGGAUUCCUCACAUUACACAGUGGUUGCUUUAUUCCCAGCAUCUCUAAAGUCCCAUUUUGACCCUCGAUAAUGCCCUUGCUUCCCCCAUCACUUAAGACUAUCACUUCUAUGAGUAGCAGUAGCAUUUCAGCUCAUGAACUCACAACACUGUAAAGUAUAAGGAAAAUUGUCCCCCAGACCCAGCACAAAGCCAAAGGAAAGCCAUUGUGCUGUUAGUCUGUCAUUGGGUCACUUCCUAUCAAGACUUUCUACAUCUAAGUUAGUUCAGAAGCAAUAAAAAGCAGCAUUAUAUGUGUCAGUACUUGCUGGAAAGUUGUUCAGUUUAUGGCUAAAAUAAAGACUCAGGAUUUAGAAAGAGUCCAAAUCCUCAGUCACGCAGUGUUAUUCAACAGGGUGAAUAAAGAAUCUGGUCAAGUAAAUUACCUGCUCAUGCCAGCUGUUGGCUCUAAUUUUGUGAUUUCCACCAUUGUUGCAUACACAUAUUUAAACUCUCCUUUAAAUGUUUUCUGCUUCAAAGAAAAAGGCUUACCAAAUUUCCACUAAGAAAUCAAGCACCUGAUAAAGUAUUGCAUUUCAAGCACCCGAUUGUUGUCACAAAUCAUUUUUUUGCUGUGAAUAAUAAAGCCCCAAGGAGAUUUUACUCUUA
Haemorhous mexicanus (house finch) is the source of this 3892-nucleotide long non-coding RNA. RefSeq lists it as uncharacterized. The record is from RefSeq and is a predicted model, not a curated record. NCBI's taxonomy places the organism in Eukaryota, Metazoa, Chordata, Aves, Passeriformes, Fringillidae. The transcript is spliced from 2 exons.